CACAGAUUGAGAUGGCUCAGAAGUUGUUGAAUUCAGAUCUGGCCGAGUUAAUAGCGAAGAUGAAACUGGCCCAACAGUAUGUCAUGACAAGUUUACAAAAGGACUACAAGAAACAGAUGCUAAUGGCAGCUCACGCCCUCGCAGUGGACGCCAAGAACCUGCUGGACGUCAUCGACCAAUCACGACUCAAGAUGAUCCGCCCACACUAGCUCCUGUUGGAGAGGGAGAGUGUAGUAGCUCUCAGCCAAUCACAAAGAGGAGAGGACAUUUCUAGAUGGAUAUCACUGAUGGACGGAUGAAAAAAUGAACUGAAAGCAGACAUGACUAAAACAAUCCGCUCGCUCUCCUCUUCCUCCAAACAUUCAUAACCUUUUCUUCUCUCUGGCCACGGUCAUGUUUUGGUCAAUAUUCUGUUUUUUUGUACUUUUUUGUUGCAUUAUUUGCUUUUGUAUUCAGCUAAACGCUCCUCUCCCCAUCACGUGUCGCCAGAGAUACGUUUUUUGUUUUUCAAAUCAUCCAUUACUUCUUUUUAAUCUUUGAAGAAAGUCGAUCAAACGAAGAUUUCCGAGGCUCGCUUGAAGGACACGACUAACACUCUCCACAUGUGCAGGAUGUAACAACUGGAACUGAAGAACCAGAAUGAGGAGGAUCAUGAAGAUGAUGUUGUUUAAACAUGCUUUUAUAUCAUUAUUCAUUAUAAUUAUUACUAUGUUCAGCCUUGACUUUUACAGCAUGUCUCCAUGUUCAGUCCUCUUCUUGAAUGUUCAAUAGGCAAAGAUAAUUGAUUUACAGCUGCUCAUAAACAUCAUAAUUUCAUAUUUUUCUUCGAUGUUCUUUUAUCUAGAUCUCUUUAUCUCAGGCAUUAAGAGUUGGCAUAACACAGAAAUAUGAAAGAAGAACAAUCUAAAUGUCACAGACCACUUUUUAAGUACAUAUACAAAAAGCUAUAUUUUUAACACUUCUGAGGCAUGAAUUGUUGGUGAAUAAGGGGGAAGGGGGGCAGAGGGCUGAGAAGGAUUUUGAGUUACAUUGGAGUUUCUAAUUAUACUGUACAGUAGGUCACCCUGUGUCAAAUGCACUUAAAAGGAACGUUUCACUCAAACUAUAUUGGUUUCCUCAACAAUUCAAUGUUUUCUGGAGCAACUCGCCUAUUUUUACAGAAGUUUCUACAAAAAUGUAAAUUAAUGAUUUCUCUAUUGAUGUUUUGGUAUAUUGAAACCAAAUUGGUUUGUUGCGGGUCCCUUCAUCAUACUCGGACAGAUACACACCUUUAAACUACAGCAUGGGUUGGUGGUCAGGUUCAUAGAGGUUCCUCUUUGAAAUGGUUCAUGUCCACAAUCAUUUGCUCUUCAUCUCCUCUCAAUCAGUCCUUAUAUCCCUCCCUGUCUUUCUACCUCCAUCCACUGGAGUUAUUUAUACCUUUUAUCCCCUUUCUUCUUCUGCUCUGUCACCCACACAUUUCUAUCCCACCCGGCCUCUCUGAUUCUCUCUCCAUCCCACUGUUCCCUUUCUACUGAGGUGAGCAGCAUUCUCAGGAAGGAGUCACAUGUACAGUUGCUAAACCAAGCAAAUAAAAACACUGUCUUUAAGAAAUA
Molecule: long non-coding RNA, 1595 nt
Organism: Notothenia coriiceps (black rockcod)
Lineage: Eukaryota; Metazoa; Chordata; Actinopteri; Perciformes; Nototheniidae
Exons: 2
Source: RefSeq, a predicted model, not a curated record